Molecule: long non-coding RNA, 16599 nt
Filed under: Homo sapiens (human)
Lineage: Eukaryota; Metazoa; Chordata; Mammalia; Primates; Hominidae
Description: non-protein coding lnc-FSIP1-4:21
Source: RNAcentral
GUAGUCUUUGUUCUCAUUUAAACACUGAAUGGCCAUUGACUUCUUUUGAAAAAGAAAAAGAAAAAUGACAUCUUCUGUAACCAGAAGCACUCCAAGAACAACACUUUCAUUCAUGGACUUAACAACUACAUUAGAUCAUACCAGCCUGUCACUUCAAAGUCACCAGUGUCAAGGAACAUUUCAAAUUGGCUUAAAGCAUUGUUUUGGAGGUGUGAAUAAUGAAGCCAAGGACAUUAGCAACAUCAUGAAAGCAGGCAUCAAGUGAAUAGAGAAGAUUCUAUGGAUGUAGAAGAGGUCCCUGGGUUUCCGAAUUGCCACUGGAUUGCCUCUAUCAAAUACACAAGAGUUUCAUGAGUGAGAAAUAACCUUCUGUUGCUUUAAAUCUUGGGUUGUGCAAUACAUCAGUGAGCCUACCAUGACUAAUACAUUCUAUGGAUGCAGAUUUCUCUUCUCUGGCCAUUGACAUGAGUGUGCUUUCUGGAUGCAGUCACAGGGGACCCAAGAUUCUUGGACAGAAUUCUCGCCGGGAGCCAACUCAGCCUGAUCUGCUGGCAUCUCUCAAGUAUCAGAAGUCAACAAAAUGGUUUGCCUUGAAGACUUGGCCAGAGCAGCAGCCAAAGUUCAUAAGGCUUUCGUAGAGAGAUUGUUUGUCUAAGAAAACAAAAUUCUAAGGGCUCCCAUUGUGCAGCUGGGGUGGCAAAAUGCAAACUAAUAUAAGGAAAAAAAAUGCUUUUCAUUUCCAUGGAAGAAAUGACCCAUCCUAUUGUUGAUAUUUCCUUUUCUGUGCUAACUUAUUCCAUUAAUUAGGCUCUCGUUUUAUGAGAUAAUUUCACUGCAUGCGUAUCUUCUUUUGGUUAUUACACAAGGACUGUUUUCUAUGGUUCAUAUCUAAGUCCAACCCUGGAAAAAUCUUUUUUUUUGAGACAGCCUUUUUUGUUUUGUUUUGAGACAAUACUCCCUCUGUUGCCCAGGCUGGAAUGCAGUGGUGAGAUCAUAGCUCACUGCAACUUCUGCCUCCUAGGCUCAAAAAAUCCUCCCACCUCAGCCUCCCAAGUAGCUGGGAUUGCAGGCAUAUGCCAUCACACCCGGCUAAUUUUUGGAUUUUUAGUAAAGUUUUGCCAUGUUGGCCAGGCUGAUCUUGAACUCCUGCCCUCAAGUGAUCUGCCCACCUUGACCUCCCAAAGUGCUGGGAUUACAGGUGUGAGCUACUGUGCUCAGCUCAGCCAUGGAACAAUCUUGAUGUAUAAUUUAUCUGCAGGUAUCUCCAUCUCUAUUUGCCACUCUUAGUAAAUGUUUUAGUUUGACAGUAAACGAGUUGAGACAUUAAUGAUUGAGAGAGCACCUAAGCAGCUCGAAGUGCUGGGAGUCUCUCCUAAAGAAUUAGAUGCACACAGCAUUUUUCCCUUACAGACACUUCACUGAGCAGUCAUGUUGGACUUGGGUGGCGUCUGCUAUUAGACACACUAUUCACCAAUAAAACCCUGAAAAUUGCAUUGCACAGGACUGAUAAAAAUAAGAUGACUUAAGAAACGUAUUUAUGGUAUAUAUACACAGAAAAAGAAUGAAAGUUUGAGGGGGUAUUGCCUCUGGGAGGAAGAGUUAUGAGUAGUUUGUAUUUCCUUUUUUGUUAAUCUGUAUUUCAUUUUUUAGGCAAUGCAAAUAUAUUAUUUAGACAACAAAAUACUUAUUAGAAAGAAAAGACAUGGUGGGUUUUUUCCCCUUUAUUCUUUGCUUUUCUAAGAGGAAACUUUGACUGCAAUUGCUUGUGAGUGAUACCUGUGUUCUGGUAGCUUAGGAAGACACAAUGUGGUUAGGGAAGGAUAAGAACAGAUGGCUUUAAUAAAUGUACUCAAGGCUAAUGUACCCUUCAUAGUCUCAGGCUUCAGAUCAGAUCUCUUAUCUAUGCUGGCACCAGGAUGUGGUUUUGAGUUCUCUGCUUUUUCUACAGCUUUAGGGAAAUCUGCAUGCAGGCACAUCUAAUUGUCCAAACCAAAAAUCACAUCCAGGAUGUGAGGCAGCCUGGGAGAGGUCAUUUUGAGUUCUGUAGUCUCCGAAGUAUAAAAACACAUAAACAUGUAUACAUACACACAUUAACACCCACACACUUUUGAAGGAAGAUGGAAUGGAAGACAAGCACCACAGUGAAACUUUAGAAGAAUUUCCCUUACAUUCAGGAAAAAAAGAUAGAGGGUCCAUUUUCAUCACUCUUAUUGCCAUUGUCUAGAAGAUAAGCCGUAAUAAGAUAAAAUAAAAAGUGUAUAGAACACUUGGAAAAAAAUAUAAAAGAUUGGUCCCAUUCUCCGAUGGCAUGAUAUUCAAAUGAAGAACCAACUAUAAACAGGUUGUUAUGAGCUGAAUGUUAAUGUGACCCCAAAAUUCAUAUGCUGAAAUCUUAACCCCAAAGGUGAUAGUGUUAGAUGGUGAGGCUUUUAGGAGUUGACACAGUGUAAUGCCUCUUCUAUGAAGAAGUGGGCCUUUGUCAGUUACCAAAUCUGCAGAGGCCUUGAUCUUGAACUUCCCAGCCUCCAGAGCUUGGAGGAAUGAAUGUUUAUUGUUUGUAAACCACCCAGUUUAUGGUAUUUUAUUAGAGCUGCUCAAAGGGUCUAAGACACAAGUAUAAGUCAUAAGUAAAUGCAUCAAAUUUGCUGAAUAUAAAUCAACAUAUAAAAAAUCAACAGCAUGCUUGGAUCCCUGGUAUGAAUCACAUCUGGUCAUGGCAAAUAAUCUAAAAAAAAAUAAUAAAAUAAUCAAUUUAAAAAAUUUAAAAAGCAACAGUAUUUACUAUUCAUUGCCAAUGACCAAUUAGAAAAUGGCAUAAACAUGACAUCUGUGAUAAGACAAAUACUCUAAGGUAACUAGAACUACAAGUAAUAAAAGAUGUGUACAGUUUACAGAGACGAUUGUAGAAAGCCAAAAAAAAUUAAAAGUGAAAACCUAAAUGGGAAGAAGCAUCAUGUAUAUUGGGUCAUAGUAGAUAUCAUAAUAUAAAUUAUAAAAUACAGAACAAAAUGAUAUAAAAUACUAAAUUUCAAAAUGUGUUGGAUAUAGCUAAAGCAGCACUAAAGAGGAAUUUAUAGGUUUAAAUACACGUAUUGGGGGAGGAAAGAGAUAAAGUUUGAUAUGGCGGUAAGCAUCCACUUAGGGAAAAGUACAAAAAGAAAAUAAUAGUAGAAAGUAAUAAAAUAGAAAAUAUAAAAGAGGUUUUUUAAAAAAUACUUACAAAAUGGACAGUCUUUAUGGGGAUUGAACAAGAACAAAGAAAGAAGGCACUGAUAACCAAUGUCAAGGAUAUGGAAGUGGAUAUGUGGAUAUAACUAAAAUGCUGCAGUUAUUCGAGAUAAGAGUAUUAUAAGUAACUGUAAGAUAACACAUUUAAAAACUUGGUCGAAAUGGUCAAAUUUGUAGAAAAGUAUAUCUCAACAAAACUGAUUCAAGAAAAAUAACCCAUUAAAAAAUAAAUCAGCAGUUACCUUUUAUUUAUUUAUUUUUGACAAGAAAAUAUCAAAUGGUUUUACUGGCAAGAUCUGCCAAAUAUUCAAGAAACAAGUAAUUUCAAUUUUGGACAGAAUUUUCCAGAGAAGAGAAAAUGGGAAGAGGGUUGUUCCUCAUUUUAUGAAGCUAGUAUACACAUCAGUGCCAACAUUUGACAAGGGAAGUUUGAAAAAGGAAAAUCACCGACUAAUCUCUCCCAUGAGCAGAGACUUAAAAAAUUCUAAACAAAAUAUUUGCCAACCAAAUCCGAAUAUAGAAAGGAUUGUACACCAUGAUCAAGUUGAGCUCAUCCUAGGAAUGUUUCCUUUAUGGUAACAUUCGGGAAAGCAAAAUACAUGGGUGCACAUGCAAGAGGUAGGAGAUUGAGACUGGGAGUCUGUAGAACUUCUGAUUUCAUCCAUUUUUUGCAAGUGAAUUAGAUUUUCUUUAAAAAGGUUAUUGGGUGAAGGCGCAGAUAGAGGAGCAGGUCUUGGAGAUUUAAGGGGAAAGGAAGUAUGAUACAGUCUUCUAGAAGACUGGAAGAGUAAAUGGAAUAUAGCGUGAUUGCAUUGGGGCUCCUCUGAGCUUUAUGGGCAUGAAUUUAAAGAUUAUUUGAGGCCCUGGUUUGUGCAGUAAGAAAAAUUUUGUUUAGGGAUUAGGAAGGAAGAAAUAAAACUAAAAAUCUCCCAUUAUUCACAGAUGACAUGAUGAUUCUUAUAGAAAACCCAAAAGAUAUUACUACAUCAAUAUAGAAAACUCAAUUACAUUUCUUUAUUUUUCUUUUUCUUUUCUUUUUUUUUUUUUUUUGCUUUAAGUUCUAGGAUACAUGUGCAGAACGUGCGGGUUUGUUACAUAGGUAUACAUGUGCCACGGUGGUUUCCUGCACCUAUCAACCCGUCAUCUAGGUUUUAAGCCCAGAAUGCAUUAGGUAUUUGUCCUAAAACUCUCCCUCCCCUUCCCCUACUCCCCCCAACAGGCCCUGGUAUGUGAUGUUACCCUCCCUGUGUCCCUGUGUUCUCAAUGUUCAACUCCUACUUAUGAGUGAGAACAUGCGGUGUUUGGUUUUCUGUUUCUGUGUUAGUUUGCUGAGGAUGAUGGUUUCCAGCUUCAGCCAUGUCGCUGCAAAGGACAUUAACUCAUUCGUUUUUCUGGCUGCAUAGUAUUCCAUGGUGUGUAGGCGCCACGUUUUCUUUAUCCAGUCUGUCAUUGAUGGGCAUUUGGGUUGGUUCCAAGUCUUUGCUAUUGCAAAUAGUGCUGCAAUAAACAUAUGUGUGCAUGUGUCUUUAUAGAAUGAUUUAUAAUGCUUUGGGUAUAUACCCAGUAAUGGGAUUGCUGGGUCAAAUGGUAUUUCUGGUUCUAGAUCCUUGAGGAAUCACCACACUUUCUUCCAUAAUGGUUGAACGAAUUUACACUCCCACCAACCAUGUAAAAGCAUUCCUAUUUCUCCAUGUCCUCACCAGCAUCUGUUGUUUCCAGACUUUUAAAUGAUCAUCAUUCUUACUGGCAUGAUAUGGUAUCUCAUUGUGAUUUUGAUUUGCAUUCCUCUAAUGGCCAGUGAUGAGUUUUUCUUAUGUUUUCUGGCCGCAUAAAUGUCUUCUUUUGAGAAGUGUCUGUUCAUAUCAUUCACCCACUUUUUAAUGGUUUUUUUCUUGUAAAUUUAAGUUCCUUGUAGAUUCUGGAUAUUAGACCUUUGUCAGAUGGAUAGAUCGCAAAAAUUUUCUCCAAUUCUGUAGGUUGCGUGUUCACUCUGAUGAUAGUUUCUUUUGCUGCGCAGAAGCUCUUCAGUUUAAUUAGAUCCCAUGUGCCAAUUUUGGCAUUUUUUGAAAAUGCUUUUGGUGUUUUAGUCAUGAAGUCUUUGCCCAUGCCUAUGUCCUGAAUGGUAUUGCCUAGGUUUUCUUCUAGGGUUUUUAUGGUUUUAGGUUUUAUGUUUAAGUGUAAGGAGGGAUACAUUUAAGCCAAAAAGGACAGUCUACAUCUCUGCUUAUUGUCCCAAGGCAGCAGAAAUACAAUUCAUAGAUCCCAACACUUAGCCUUCCCCACCCUAGUCACACAGCAUCCCUCAGCCUGCCAAGGGAAUUGGUUCUGCAGACACGAGGGAUUUGCCCGGGGAUAAAGACCCCUUCUGGUUCAGACAUCAGGAGAUACAAAUGCAAUACACCACAGCUGACACAACUGGACAUCUUCAGUGUUGCAGUCUCACCCUAUCUCUCUGCUUGCCAGCUCCAGCUCAUCGGGCCAGUUAUGAGAAGGAAAACAUAUUUUCUAAAAGCUUUCUUAAGUGUUCACAUGGCCAGCUGCCCUUGUUUGUUCUCCUGAGUACUGAGGUCACUGGAAGCCACAAAACCCAGCUGGGACCACUUCAAUGAGUUAUGCUCCAGGGAAAAUUAUGGUGUGAAAAGGUAAAAGGAAAUUUUGGAAACUGGUGGAAUCUUCAUGGAAGUGUCACCCUGGGCUAAUACCAAGGAUCUGACAUAGACAAAAGUAUGAAUUACUCUGCAGGCUCAGCGCCAAGGGCAAGGUCGUAAGAGCCUGAGAUGGUCUUAACAAAUUAAGUGAGGCAGGCAAAGUUCAGUUGCUUACUGUGAGCUGGACCCUUCUACAUUAUUAUUUUUAUCAUGGAGUCCAAUGUCCCCAUGUUGAUCCUAACAAGCCAAGUCCCACAUUGCAUCAUCCCACAUGGGCCGGCCUUCUCUGGGCAAAACUUCAAGAUGUGAAACUCCUUUUUUCUCCUCUCAAAAUGUGCCAGUCCUGAGUCUCCUGUAUUGGGUUCAUUAAUGUUAACAUACUUUUUCUGGUCUGCUACAAUGAUCCAGGCACUGCACUAUAGUCCAAAGGCACAAAACAAUAAAUUAGACUUGCCCCUUGUUCUCAGGACUGAAAAUGGUUCCAUUCACCAAAAAAACAGGUGAAAGUUUACCCAGCACCUAAACCUGUACUAAUGUAUUAAUUAAUGCAUCACAGUUUAUUUAUUCUACACUUAUUUUACUUGCCCCUGUAAUAUACCACUAGAUGCUUCAGUAUGGGAGAUAUUGAACUCUAAAGUUCUAAGGGUGCUGUGGUGGAGAUAUGGACAUAUCUCAAAAUUAGCAGGAAAUUUAAAUAGCGAUUUUAAGAGAAAGUAAGAUCUGGUUAUGAGAAAGGAUGAAGCUACUCUGGGUGAGAGAAAACUGAGAACUAUGCCCUAGGAAUAUCCAACAUUUAAAGUGUAAACAAAGAAAGUAAAGACAGAGAUGACAACUGAGAAAGAGUGGUAGUCACAGGAGACUCAAGUGAGUGUAGCUGGAAGAUGUCAUCAGAACCCUAGUUAAUAACAUGUGGUCUACCAUUGCUACAAUACAAUGCCCUCCAGCCAUCUCAGGCAGGUGGGCCUUUACUUUCCUCAAAUUACAUUCACAGAUGAACAACCCAUGCUCUAUGAAGGAGUCGGGCCUGCAUACUAUCCUUCCCAAUGAGGGAGAUGUGACAGUUCAGGAUUCAGGAAAGGACCAAAUGGACUCACCAGGCAAGUGUGCUUUAGGAUGGAGGGCAGGGUUGGCUCUGUGCCAGGAGUGUAGAUUUCAUCUGUUGGCUGCAAAUGUGUGCCAGUUCCCAAUGGAAUGCUACUGUUCUCUGACCUGCCCUCAACUCAUAACACAAGUCACAAUUCACUGGAGUUUCACAGUACGUUUCUGUGGAUGUUUGGAAUCAGAAAUGCAGACUCACAGAAUAGCUGUAUAGGAUUUAAAGAGAAUCGGCAGAGUUCAGGCUGCUCAUUUUACAGAGGAGGAGGCUGAGUCUGAAGACUUACUAAUUUGGCCAGGGUUGCAUGGCAGUUUAGCAGAGUAGUUAAACAAAUGGGCUUGAAACUCAAAGAGUCCCUGAGAAUCUUAAAUUGUGUGCCUUAGGCAAGUCUGCUAAAACUGCUAUGUCUCAGUUAACUCCUCUUAAAACUGAGUAAGAAUAACAUAUAUAUAUAUAUAUCAUAUAUUAUGAUACAUGAUAUAUACAUAAUUCAUGUAUUAUAUCAUGAUACAUGAUAUAUAUGUAUUAUUCAUGUAUAUGAUACAUGAUACAUAUAUCAUGUAACCUAUGAUAUAUAUCAUAUAUGAAGAUUAUAUAUAUAUCUCAGAGGUUAUUUGUAAGAGAUGAGAUAGUGAAUUCAAAGCACUUAGCAUGACAGCUAGCAUAUGGUGACACAGCUAUCAUGCAAAGCCAAGUCUUCUGACUCGUACUUUAGUGCUCUUUCCUCUGAACCAUGAUCCCUCCUUUAAAUAGAGAAGUUAAAAAUGAACUUACAGAGACAUUCUAUGUGUACCAACCCAACACUAUAGCACUUGAUUUAUGCAUUCAUUUUUAUAACAACUAUCAUUUGAGCAUCUAUGUACCAGGGUGCUGAUGUAACCAUGCUGAGUGCUGAGGUACUCAUGCUGAAUCAGAUGUGAUCUCUUCCCACUAAGGAGAGAGAAGAUUGUGCCUAUGGUAGCCAGGAAUGAGGUGCACUUGCAAGGAGUAGGGAGGAGUGGGGAGAGUCUAGAGGCAAGGAGAUGAGAUAGAAAGUUCUUGCCCUAAUUUAGGCAAGAGGCAGCAGGGUCCUGAAUUACCUUGGAGAAAAUGGAAAUUAGGGGAAAGGACAAAGAAAUGAGGUAGGAACAUGAGACUUACCCUUGACACAUGAUUAUUAUGUUUAUGAAAUAUUUGUUUUUGUGUUUCUGACAAGCAAUUUGCCUCCAGAAUUGCCAAAUGAGUCUGGUUGUUACUCCAGACUCAAGGUAACAUCUGCUUAUUGCUAGUGCAUAGACCAGGGCAGGUGAUGGGCUUUAGGCCUCUUAUCUAGCGUCUUACACAAAAUUGCAAGUAGACCCAGAAUUACUAGUGCCAGGGCUGCAGAAAUAGGAACUGUUUAGCCAGGUCUAUGACCAUCUGUUUUCCCUCCUGCCAAAUGCAUCGAGGGCAUGAUAGAUCUGGCUUAGAUGGUAACAAAGUGAGAGCAGAGUUGAGCAAAUAGACAAAUGUUUAUCUUUUGCAGGAAUGUGCACUUGGCUCUGGGGAUUGUAGCUGUCCAUCAGCAUCCACACUGGAUGAAACUGCUGAAGGAAGGGGCUCCGAAAACACCCACUUUCCUCAGCCUCUGCGGCCUUAACUCCAUGUGCCAGCAGGUCAGGCUAACAGGCUGUGGUGCUAAAGGCAUCAGGCAGACAUAUCUACUGGCCCAUUAAGAUUCUGUACCUAAACACUACCCACCCCGCCCACCCUGCCCCAGUGAUGGCCCUGCCUUUCCUGCCAGGCCUGCUCUCCUCCCCAAGAAAGGGAAAAUGGUUAGCAACUUUCAGAAACUAAAACAAACACAAAAGUUUGCCAACAUUAAACUCUGCUUCACAGCUAAAUGGACCAUAAACUUUCAGCACCUUGAACAAAACUUCAAUUCAAUCCCUUCUACAGGUGCUGUGGGCACAAAGACUGCACAGUGUAUUUUUGCCCUGGGAAAGAGUCUCAAAUUAUUAUUUUUGUAAAAAAAAAAAAAAAAAGAAAAGAAAAAGUUGCCUGGAAAAAAGUUUCAUUUUGUGCUUAGAAAAACAAGCCAAGAGGCAACGCACACCCCCUUUCUCUCCAUUCUCACUUCCCUGCACUCUCACGAGAAGAUUCCAGCCCACCUUGAAACCCAGCAUGGAUACUAGAGAAGACAUCUUUUUCUCCAGUUUUCAAAUAAGCCUCCAGGAUGAGGCACACGCAGACCUUUCCUGCUAGCCUGUAAUUCACCACCUUCUAAAAGGACCAGGUCAUGAUACAAAUGAAAGCAAUGAAAAGCACAGGCCUGCAUGCCCAAGGUCUGAGUCUUGCUCCCUGUCAUCUUCGGUGUGACCUUAGCGUGUCACUUGACCUCUCAGGUCUCACAUUUAGCAUCCAGACAACUCAGGACUUAAGUUCUCUUACAGCUCUAAAAUUCUGUAUGGGAAUGACAUCAAUAAAGUAAUAUAAUUUUUUGUUCAAACCAGCAAAGAUGUGCAAAUACAAGGGGUAGUGAAUAGCAAUUAUGCCUGGCAUCCAGCAGAACUGUGCUGGGAACCAAGACCUGUGGUUCUGAGGGCUGUCCAGAGAGCGCCACGGCCAUUCGCGUGCUAAACCUUUGCAACCUGAGCCCAGUAACAGGAACACAGAACAUUCUCCAGGAGUCUGGGGCCUUGCCUCCAUUCUCCAGCUGCUCCUCUCCCAUUGUUUUCCCUCUCUACACGACUGCCCUUUCUUGGGCUCCCCAUGCUCUAAGUUAAGUUGGCAGCAUGGCAGAGAUUGAGAGCACAGAUUCUGGUCUCAGACUGCAUGGGCUCAAAUUACAGCUUCAUAAUUUACCACAUGAUCUUGGGCAAGUUACUUAAACUCAAAGAUAGACUUUUCAAACAUUUUUUCACUGCAAUCCACAGUAAGAAAUAUAUUUAACAUAAAUAAUACUCUACGUGUGUGCACACACACACACAUACUCACAUAAAUUAAAAGAUUAAUAAAAAAUAAUUAUUUUUGAUAUUUUGUGAGCACCAUUUGAUUGGUCCUAUUCUAUGUAAAUUUCUAUAAAUGCUAGUCAUAAUCCAGCAAAUUGAUUUCAUGGUCUACUAAUGGUUUCAGACCCACAAUUUGAAAAACCCUGUUCUAAGCUUUAGUUUUCUCAUCUGUAAAAUGAAGAUAAUAUAAAUAAUAUCCUCUCUGUGGAGUUGUUAUGAAGAUGACUAAAAUGUUCAUAUAAAAGCGUUUGGCCACAGUGCAGGGUGGCUCACGCCUGUAAUCCCAGCACUUCGGGAAGUCAAGGCAGGCAGAUCACAUGAGGCCAGUAGCUCAAGACCAGCCUAGUCAACAUGUUGAAACCCUGUCUCUACAAAAAGUACAAAAAUUAGCCCAGCAUGGUGGUGCACACCUGUAGUCCCAGCUACUCAGGAGGCUGAGGCAGGAGAAUCACUUGAACCCGGGAGGUGGAGGUUGCAGUGAGCCAAGAUGGCACCACUGCAUUCCAUCCUGGGCAACAGAGUGAGACUCUGUGUCAAAAACAAACAAACAAACAAACAAAAGGUUUAGCUUGGAAGGUAAUAAGUGCUCAGUGAAUAUUAGUGUUAUUAUUACUCAAGGAAGGGCAUCAGUGUGAAAUAAAUCUUAUACUUCAAGUCCAAAAGGGAAGCUCCCAGUAAUCAUGCCCUUCAUGAACCUGUACAUGAAUCAAAUGGCUUUUCCCAUUGGGCAUGCAUGCCAUGCCAUCAAGCAAGUCAGAAUUUAAGCUUCUGUGCAGGUCAGUGAAGACAUGGUGCUUGCCACUGCAGCAGCAGCCAUCUUGCACACAUGAGGUGCCACACCUGAGGAAGGAAGAACAAAGCAAUGGAAAGACCAGUGUUUUGGUAUUACUGAGUUGCUGAACCAAUCCUGGAACUGGAUCUCAGGCUUUUUAUUUAAAUCAAUAAAAUCUCCUGAUGUUUAAAAGGCAAUUUUAUGCAAACCAGCUCAUUACCUCCUACAGUGUCCCUUCCCUCACCAACAGGAAGUGGCUCCACAUUUCAAUUGCCUUUUUGCCCUUGAGAAUCAGCAUUCCCUAAACCACCACUAUUAAAUUUGGGACUCUGAAACCACAGAAAUACCCUACAGUAGGAAAUCCCCCUUGGGUGCCUAGACUCUCUAUCACCUUUGCAAAGCUUUUAAGUAAAAAAGGAAAACCUCAGGCUUCCCACUUAGCCAUGGAAAGUGGUACCACCUUCAGAGGAAAGAUGGGGGAUUCAGGAGCACCACCUCCAAUUUUAGGAGGUGCCCCUGAUUUCCUCAAAUACUGACAGGUAAUUUAACCUAAACAAUGGAGAGGAGCCCUGCUUCAAGAUGCAGUGCUAGGCUCACCCUGACCAGCACUUGGUAGAUAAGAAAGAGAAAACAACUUACAAAUUCUUCAGUGAUGCUUGGCUCAGUACUUAGCUCGCUGGCUGGCUGACUUUGCAACUACUUCUAGUUAAGGGUUCCAAAGGACUGGAAGGUAAAUAACCAGCAAGGUGUCGUAACACUGAGACAGAGUGAAAUAUUAUUUCCACCCUCUCGUGACCUCGGUGGCCAUUUUCCAGCUCUAGGGCCAGUCUGCACAUGACGAUGAGUGGUAUCUGAUGGCUGGUCCUGGCAUGAAGUGUGAGGGAAUGCCAGUUUAGGACUUGAACCUUCCAUCUCCCACUGAUUCCAGUCAGAGUAAUCCAAACCUAGUCUGUCUUUUCUUUCCCUUAUGCUGCAAACUUUCCCCUGUUUUAGUCAAAAUACACCAGCUUAGUAAUUCUGGCUGCCACAGACUGAAUUUUGAGCCUCACCAGUUUCCAAAUAAUUAAGACAGAGAAAGUGAGUUAAAUAAAAUAUGGCCAGAUUAAAUAAACAAUUCGGUACUUUAGGAGAAGAAUUCAGGCUGGGUCUAAGAUAGGCGCCUAGCGCAGGGCUCUGCAGCAGACAUAAGGAAGUCUUAAGUUGGUUUUCAAUAGGUGUACCUAAGGGUGCAUUUGAUAACAACAACAAAAAGAGAGAUGGAAGCAAAUAUUUAACAAGCACCUAUUAUCUAUCAGGCACUACAUAUACAUUCUCUCAUUUUCUUCUUACAAAGUACACGUAUCCUAGCAAUUAUUUCCAUUUUAAAAAACUGAAAAUGAAAAAUUACUUGCUCAAGAUCAUAAAGCAAGUAAACAUUAGAAUUAGGAUUUAACCCUAGGCCCUUCUUGUGCAGGAGUCAUGCUCUUUCAAGCACACUGUGCUGUCCCCCGGGAAGAGUGAGGGUUAUCAGGAAAAGCAGUGGAAUGGCAGAAAAGAAGAAGGGGAAGGAUUUUAAAACAGGGAAAAGAAAGGACAGAAAUACAUAAAAAUAAGAAAUGGGAACAGGAAGGACUGCAAAGAUUAAGGAAGAACGGUUGGUGAGUACCUUGGCUAUUUAGUGGAAUUUGGUGAUUCAGAACUGGGAAUGGACAGUAAGCCCCUUCAAAUACCCUGGGGAAGCCAAGAUUGUCAUGGAGCUGUUCUUUUCUCUAUCUCAAGUACAAAUGUCUCAAAGAACUCUAAAAGCUACUUAAAGCAAGAGCAAGGAACUCAAACUAAGUUCUUAUUGAGUGGUGGCCAAAAAACAAGCUGGACGAGUUUCCAGAUGAUACUGCCGGGAUGAUUCUUUUAGCUGACAGUUACCAAAAAGGAAGGCUUUCAGGACAUGUCAAUAGCAGAUCUUACGCCUUCUCUGACCUCGGCCUUCCUCAGAGUCUUUUAGCUGUAAUGAGCAAAUAUUAGCAUAAGAGACAGGGACCAAAUAUUUGUUUAGUGUCUGUGUUGAUUAUUAAGCUGUUGCCUGUAAACUCCACACUCACCCUUCAUUCUCAGCUUUGUGUUGCUGGGGCUGGGCCUCUGUAAUCACAUUUCAGCUUUGCCAGAGGGAUUUCUCUUAGGCUGCCAGUAGUGGGGCACUAGAGGGAGUCUGGAGGCAGUGGGGAAGAAGGGAUUUGUUCCUUCUGUUUUUUUGCUGGUCCUGUCAGUAUCAUCCCAGCAGCCCUUAGCUCCAGUUUGCAGUUAUUUUCCUCACUACAAGAACACACUCCCUCAGUGAUAGCGUCUGUCAACCAGAACCUCCUCCCCAGAUAUUGAGUCCCUGUUUUGAGGGUCCCUGCUCUGAGUCUCCAACGCACCUGCCUCCACCAGGCAGCACCCCUCCCUCCUGGUCCAGUUUCCAGCUCUGCAGGGCCCUCCUCCAAGCUUCCAGAUCCCAGGCACCUGACGCAUCCCUUUUGUUCUCUCAGCCCUAGGGGUAGCGAUUGCUUCCUGCAGUUGCUAGCUCCGUGACCCUCCAGUGGUCCUCCUCCUCACUUUCAGUGCUUCAAUUCCUUAUAUUAAGUAUUCUUUAUUAGGAAAACUGAUGGGUGUCUGUUUUCUGGACUGGCCUUUACCUGAUUUGUUAUCACUUCUGUCUACGUCCAGGACAAUAUUGAGCAAUAUUCUGAGGCUAUACUGUGUUAAAAGGAAACUUCAGACAAAUUAAAUUUAACAGAGUUUAACUGAGCAAGAAAAAAAAAUUCAUAAAUUGGGCAGCCUCCAGAAUCACAACAGAUUCAGAGAGAGUCCAGGGAUGCCUUAUGGUCAGAACAAAUUUAUAGACAACAAAAGGGAAGUGACGUGCAGAAAUCAGAAGUGAGGUACAGAAACAGCUGGACUGAUUACAGCUCAACAUUUGCCUUUUUUGAACAAAUCUGAACACUCAGCAGUGUAUGAGUGGUUGACGUAUGGCUGCUGUGAUUGGCCAGACCUCAGCUAUUGUUACAGGCACAUACUCUUAAGUCAGGUUUUCAAUCCUAUCUGACUAUAAAGUUAGGUUACAGUUUGUCCUCAUGGACUCAAAUUUAGAAGUAUGGCGUCCUUCUCAGGCCAUAUUUAGUUCAGUUUAACAAGUGCAUAUGGCUUCUGACAAAGGUGUGGCCCCUUUAGGACUCCAAAGACGCUGUCACUUACAUGGUAUUCAGGGAGGACACAGAGGAUCUGUGAGCAGCCUGCAGCCAAGCUUUGAGAUCAUAUUGAGAUUUUUUUGUAAUAUAUGAGGAGUGUUCUGGCUCCUUUUAUUACUUUCUUCAUAGCAAAAAUUGGGGGUCCAAGUUGUCGUUAAAUUGAAACUCUCUCACUUACCCUGAAAAAGAUUUGACUGUGAGCAUAACAUUGUUACUUCAUUCAAGACAUGGAAGCAAAAGGGUUAAUUAGUGCUGCUCACAAAAUAGUUCUACUUUUUCUUCUUCCAAUUAUAUGAUUGGAUAACCCUUCCCUCCCUUGAAGUCAGGGUUGCCAUGUGGCUUACUUUGGUCAAUAGAAUAUGAUUGAGAGCAAUACUGUGGUACAUCCAUACAGUGGAAUAUUAUCCAGUGAUAAAAAAAAAAAAAAAAAGGAAAGAAAGAAAGCCACAAAAAGACAUGGAAGAGAGCCAAGCGCAGCGGCUCAUGCAUGUAAUCCCAGCACUUUGCGAGGCUGAAGUGAGUGGAUCACUUGAGCUCAGGAGUUCAAGACCAGCCUGAGCAACAUGGCAAAACCCCAUCUCUAAAAAAAAAUACAAAAAAAUUUUAGCUCAGUGUGACUCUGUGUGCCUGUAGUCCCAGCUACUGGGGAGGCUAAGGUGGAAGGAUCACUUGAGCUCAGGAGGUCAAGGCUGCACAAAGCUGCAAUGAGCAGAAAUCAUGCUUGGGCAACAGAGAGAGACCCUGUCUCAAAAUAUGUUAAUGAGAGAGAACUCUGGGCAAGGGGGUGGAGGGGCAGAGGAGGAGUGUGGGGAAGGGGAAGGAGUGCAUACCUGGAAACUCUACUUUCUGCAUAAUUUUUCUAUAAACCUGAAAUUGCUCUAAAAAGUAAAGUCUAUUUAAAAAUAAUAAAUAAGAAAGAAAUAUGAAUAUCACUUGUGUCACUUUUGUGUCAAAGCAUUAACGGCCAGCACAUGAUUUGCCUUGCCACUCCCUUCCUCUUGGUCUGUAGUCCAAUGCUCUACCUCUGAGCUAUACCCCUUCCUUGCCACUCCCUUCCUAAAGAUAAGCCUCCCUCAUUGGAUUAGAAUUCUCCGGAGAGACAGAGACAAUAAGAUAUAUAUAGAGAGAGAUGGAGAGAUAGAGAUAGGAAUUAUCACAGGAUUAUGGAGGCUGAGAAGUCCCGCAAUAAGCCAUCUAUAAGCUAGAGAACCAGGGAAGCCAGUAAUAUGAGUCAGUCUAAGCCUUAAGGCUUCAAAACCAGAGAUGUCAAUAGCAUAACUUUCACCACAAGACUGAAGGUCACAAGGCUGAAUGCCUGAGAAACUGGGGGGUCACUAAUCCAAGCCCCAGAUUCGAAAGGCUGGAUAGAGAACCUGGGGUUCUGAUGUCCAAGGGCAGGAGAAUAAGGGUGUCCCAGCUCCAGAAGGGAGUGAGCAAAUUCACCUUUCCUCUGGCUUUUUGUUCUAGUAGGACCUGAGCCAUAUGGACGAUGCCUGUCCACAUUGGGUGAGGCCACAUCUUCCUCACUCAGUCCACUGAUUCAAAUGCCAAUCUCUUUUGGAAACACCCUUAUAGACAUGCCCAGAAGUAAUGCUUUAUCAGCUAUCUGGGUACCACUUAAUCUGGUCAAGUUGACACCUAAAAUUAAUUAUCAUCACAACUCAUUCUGGUUCUGUUAGUGAGAAUAAUCAAGAAUGCAUCCCUAGCUCGUCACUUCCAAUGAGCCAGUCUUCAGUGGACAUGCACCCUGAGUGGAAAAAAAGUAAAAACUGUUUCUAUUGUUGUUUUAAACAACUUAGAUUCAGAGAUUAUUUGUUAUUGCAGGAUAACCUAGCUUAUCCUGACUAAUACAGAGAGAGGAAGUCCUCCUUUAAUCUCCAACAGAAAUAUUAAACAGCAAUCAAUCACACAAUAUUGGUUAAAAAAACAAAGAUAAUAAUCAUUGUUAUUAUUUUCAUUAUUUCUGGAAAUAAAUUUAAAACUAUUGAAAAAACUUACUUUUAAAAUUCUCAACAUCACUAAUCAUCCAGGAAAUGCAAAUCAAAACCACAAUGAGAUGUCAUCUCACCUCAGUUAAAGUGGCUAUUAUCAAAAAGACAGAACAUAGCAGUUGCUGAUGAGGAUACAGAGAAGGGGAAGUUCUCCUACACUGUUCAUGGGAAUGUAGAUUAGUAUGGAAGUCCAUCAGAAAACUAAAAAUAGAACUACCAUAUGAUCCAGCAAUCCUACUGCUAGGGAUGUAACCAAAAGAAAGGCAAUCAGCAUAUAAAAGAGAUAUCUGCACCUCUUUGUUUAUUGCAGCACUAUUCACAAUAGCCAGAUUAUAGAAUCAACAUAUGUGCCCAUCAACAGAUGAAUGGACAAAGAAAAUGUGGUAUAUAUUCACAAUGGAAUAUUCAUUCAUAAAAAAAUUAAAAUCCCAUCAUUUGAAGCAACAUGGAUGUAACUGGAGGAUAUGAUGUUAAAUGAAAUAAGCCAUGCACAGAAAGACAAAUAUCACAUGUUCUCACUCAUAUGUGGGAGCUAAAAAGGCUAAACUUAUGGAGGUGGGGAGUAGAAUGGUGAUUACCAGAGGUUGGGAAGUGUUGAAGUCAGAGAGGAAGAGAACUUGGUUAAUGGGUACAAAAAUACAGUUAGAAAGAAGGAAUAAGUUCUAGUGUUCACAGUAGAACAAACAUAAUUA